AAAAACUGAGGUGGUAUGAGAUGGACCUGCGUCUGAUUAGCUAGUUGGAGAGGUAACGGCUCACCAAGGCAACGAUCAGUAGCCGACCUGAGAGGGUGACCGGCCACAUUGGGACUGAGACACGGCCCAAACUCCUACGGGAGGCAGCAGUGGGGAAUAUUGCACAAUGGGGGAAACCCUGAUGCAGCAACGCCGCGUGGGUGAAGAAGUAUUUCGGUAUGUAAAGCCCUAUCAGCAGGGAAGAAGAGAGACGGUACCUGACUAAGAAGCCCCGGCUAACUACGUGCCAGCAGCCGCGGUAAUACGUAGGGGGCAAGCGUUAUCCGGAUUUACUGGGUGUAAAGGGAGCGUAGACGGCUUGAUAAGUCUGAAGUGAAAGGCCAAGGCUUAACCAUGGAACUGCUUUGGAAACUAUGAGGCUAGAGUGCUGGAGAGGUAAGCGGAAUUCCUAGUGUAGCGGUGAAAUGCGUAGAUAUUAGGAGGAACACCAGUGGCGAAGGCGGCUUACUGGACAGAAACUGACGUUGAGGCUCGAAAGCGUGGGGAGCAAACAGGAUUAGAUACCCUGGUAGUCCACGCGGUAAACGAAGAAUGCUAGGUGUUGGUGGGCAAAGCCCUUCG
Molecule: ribosomal RNA, 621 nt
Filed under: uncultured bacterium
Lineage: Bacteria
Description: bacterial SSU rRNA
Rfam family: Bacterial small subunit ribosomal RNA
Source: RNAcentral